ACUCAACAAGAAUUAUUUUAAAAAGGGUGAGUUUAAGUUGUAAAAGCAAGCCGUGCUGAUUUUUCAGUUUCACGGAUCCUUGAUCAGCUUGUUAGCCCUAAACCUGUUUUUACAGAGUUU
Molecule: small RNA, 120 nt
Filed under: Aquimarina sp. MMG015
Lineage: Bacteria; Pseudomonadati; Bacteroidota; Flavobacteriia; Flavobacteriales; Flavobacteriaceae
Description: 6S RNA
Rfam family: 6S-Flavo RNA
Source: RNAcentral